GGUUGUGAUCAUACCAACACUAAUGCACCGGAUCCCAUCAGAACUCCGCAGUUAAGCGUGAUUGGGCGAGAGUAGUACUCGGAUGGGUGACCCCCUGGGAAGUCCUCGUGUUGCAACCCC
RNAcentral lists this ribosomal RNA (120 nucleotides) under Helianthus annuus (common sunflower). The record is from RNAcentral. Lineage: Eukaryota; Viridiplantae; Streptophyta; Magnoliopsida; Asterales; Asteraceae.